UAAUCAGCCUAGUAGUGGGGUUACUUCGCCUUCGAAAGGAACGCUAAUACCGCAUACGUCCUACGGGAGAAAGUGGGGGAUCUUCGGACCUCACGCUAUUAGAUGAGCCUAGGUCGGAUUAGCUAGUUGGUAGGGUAAAGGCCUACCAAGCCGACGAUCCGUAACUGGUCUGAGAGGAUGAUCAGUCACACUGGAACUGAGACACGGUCCAGACUCCUACGGGAGGCAGCAGUGGGGAAUAUUGGACAAUGGGCGAAAGCCUGAUCCAGCCAUGCCGCGUGUGUGAAGAAGGCCUUCGGGUCGUAAAGCACUUUAAGUUGGGAGGAAGGGCUUACAGCUAAUACCUGUGAGUUUUGACGUUACCGACUGAAUAAGCACCGGCUAACUUCGUGCCACCCCCCGCGGUAAUACGAGGGGUGCAAGCGUUUAUCGGAAUUACUGGACUUAAAGCCCGCGUAGGUGGCUUGAUAAGUUGGAUGUGAAAUCCCCGGGCUCAACCUGGGAACUGCAUCCCAAACUGUCUGGCAAAAUUGCGGUAUAAGGGGAGUG
This 549-nucleotide ribosomal RNA is filed under the name Pseudomonas oryzihabitans. RNAcentral describes it as "bacterial SSU rRNA". It matches the Rfam family "Bacterial small subunit ribosomal RNA", at positions 122 to 664 of the family's 1533-position model. Lineage: Bacteria; Pseudomonadati; Pseudomonadota; Gammaproteobacteria; Pseudomonadales; Pseudomonadaceae. The record is from RNAcentral.